GUGCCCUUCAACAACUUGGCUAUUAUAUACAAGCAACAGAGACUAUGCUUUGCAUCGGAAGUGAAUGGCAUCGUUAUCCUUCUUCAUUUUUUAUGCCUUCGUACAUUAAGGAAGUUCAAUGGAUAAAUGAAGGAUUUAGGGGUCUUCUCCCAUAUCCUUUUAAUUCAAGUUUGGGAGGCAUGACAACUACCCCACCUUAUUUCAAUGACAAGAACAAGGCUUCAAGAUAUCAAACUCUACACCUUCUAUAUGGAGCUAGAUUUGCAAAAGCCAUAUCCAACUCGAGGAAAUGAC
Molecule: long non-coding RNA, 294 nt
Organism: Zingiber officinale
Lineage: Eukaryota; Viridiplantae; Streptophyta; Magnoliopsida; Zingiberales; Zingiberaceae
Exons: 3
Source: RefSeq, a predicted model, not a curated record